GUGGGGAAUCUUGCGCAAUGGGCGAAAGUCUGACGCAGCCAUGCCGCGUGAAUGAUGAAGGUCUUAGGAUUGUAAAAUUCUUUCACCGGGGACGAUAAUGACGGUACCCGGAGAAGAAGCUCCGGCUAACUUCGUGCCAGCAGCCGCGGUAAUACGAAGGGGGCUAGCGUUGCUCGGAAUUACUGGGCGUAAAGGGCGCGUAGGCGGACAGCUUAGUCAGAGGUGAAAGCCCAGGGCUCAACCUUGGAAUUGCCUUUGAUACUGGCUGUCUUGAGUUUGGGAGAGGUGAGUGGAACUCCGAGUGUAGAGGUGAAAUUCGUAGAUAUUCGGAAGAACACCAGUGGCGAAGGCGACUCACUGGCCCAAUACUGACGCUGAGGCGCGAAAGCGUGGGGAGCAAACAGGAUUAGAAACCCGAGUAGUCC
Molecule: ribosomal RNA, 425 nt
Filed under: uncultured bacterium
Lineage: Bacteria
Description: partial 16S ribosomal RNA
Rfam family: Bacterial small subunit ribosomal RNA
Source: RNAcentral